AGGAUUCUCCUAGUAACGGCGAGUGAACGGAGAUUAGUCCAUCGCCGAAGACUGGUAUUCUUAUACACAAGUCACUGUGGCGUUUAGGUCUGUGCCUGGGACUAAGUACCUACCCGAAGUCCAAUUUCGAUUGUGGCAUUGGAUAAUCCCCAGAGAGGGUGAAAGGCCCUUACGGGUAGGCUGUUGUUUUAUUAUGCUUAGUCCUCAGAUGCACAGGCUUUCGAGUCGGAUUGCUUGAGAAUGCAGUCCAAAGUGGGUGGUAAACUCCAUCCAAGACUAAAUACUGGCACGAGUCCGAUAGUAGACAAGUACCGUGAGGGAAAGUUGAAAAGUACUCUGAAGAGAGAGUUAAUAGUACGUGAAGCCAAAUUAAGGGAAGCUGGUGGAGUCAAGCUUCGUGCUUGGAAAAUUGUUGGAGGUAUUUGUUUAUUGUGAUUAUGAGUGAUUAAUUGGUCAAUAUGGAAAGUAUUGGGCAUAUUCGCGUAUGCUUCAAGACAUUCUGGGUUGUGUGUUUGCGGCCAGUUACUAUCAUUCUAAUGCCUUCGAUCUAUUUUUCAAUUUUGCACAGAUCACAGUCAGUGAUAUUGCGCUAUGUGAUAGUCUAACAAUGUUUUGGUGAGCUUUCAGUUUGCCAGGCAUUGGAUGGCAGGUGUCGAUCCUCGGGCCUUGUGUUCGUUGUGUCGAUUAAGUCGGUUUCGAUCGGCUGAUUAUCAUGUAUGUGUCAAUUGUUACUGUUCUUUAAUGGAUUGUCGUAGUGAUACUGCAGUCCGGUAAGAACUGUGAUCCUGAGGUAGA
Molecule: ribosomal RNA, 795 nt
Filed under: Metahaliotrema digyroides
Lineage: Eukaryota; Metazoa; Platyhelminthes; Monogenea; Dactylogyridea; Ancyrocephalidae
Description: partial 28S ribosomal RNA
Rfam family: Eukaryotic large subunit ribosomal RNA
Source: RNAcentral